RNAcentral lists this ribosomal RNA (253 nucleotides) under uncultured bacterium. RNAcentral describes it as "partial 16S ribosomal RNA". It matches the Rfam family "Bacterial small subunit ribosomal RNA", at positions 524 to 776 of the family's 1533-position model. The record is from RNAcentral.
UACGGAGGGUGCAAGCGUUGUUCGGAAUUACUGGGCGUAAAGCGCGCGUAGGCGGACUGUUAUGUCAGGUGUGAAAGCCCUCGGCUCAACCGAGGAAUUGCGCUUGAAACUGGCAGUCUUGAGUCUCGGAGAGGAAAGUAGAAUUCCCGGUGUAGAGGUGAAAUUCGUAGAUAUCGGGAGGAAUACCGGAGGCGAAAGCGACUUUCUAGACGAGUACUGACGCUCAUGUGCGAAAGCGUGGGGAGCAAACAGG